UUUUUUUUUUUCUUUGAGACUGAGUCUUGCUGUAUCGCCCAGGCUGGAGUGCAGUGGUGCGAUCUCAGCUCACUGCAACUCCACCUCCCAGGUUCAAGCGAUUCUCGUGCCUCAGCCUACCAAGUAGCUGAGACUACAGGCACCCGCCACCAUGCCUGGCUGAUGUUUGUAUUUUUAGUAGAGAGGAGGUUUCACCAUGUCGACCAAGCUGGUCUCGGACUCCUGACCUCAAGUGAUCCGCUCACCUUGGCCUCCCAAAGUGCUGGGAUUACACAUGUGAGCCAUCACACCCAGCCUUCUGUGCAUAACUUUGAUGACAGUCAAGGGGCGAAGGAGUAAAGAAACCUCUCUCCUUCAACUUGUCAAAGUAUUUAAUAAUGCUGCUUCCAAGAAAAGGCCUCAGUAGGCCUCUAACUGCUGCUGUCUGUCCACCUGGGGCUAAGGCCCUUGCAAAUGGACAGAGGGCCCCUCAGGCUCAGGGUCCAGCAGCCUGACAGCUCUGGCCCUGCCCGAAGAAGUAAAUGCCAAAUAUGGGGGUCAUUAUGGUCUUUAAUAAAAGCUUGUUGCUAUAACCUGUGGGCUAGGUUCAAAGAACUGUCUAUUAAUUGUAUACCUUUUGCUGGAACAAGCACCCCCCGUUUGCAGCGGGCUGUCUGCCAAGGAGACAUUUAUCAUUUCUUGAAUGGCAGAAUUCCUCUUGGAACACCUGGUUUUCUUUCAGAAGGAAGCCGAGCCCUUCCCCUGAAGCUAGCCUCUCUUCCACGCUGACUAUAAUCUGCUUACUCCAGUCCCCAGUGCCUGAAUGAGCAGAAACCAGCUCAAGGAAUUAAGUCCUGGAGGAUGCUAAUAGGAUAUGGCCCGAAGAAUAGAGUCCAUAUCCUAUUCAAGAACAGAGUACCUGGUGCGGUGCUAACACUGCCUGGCUUCCUUGUUCUCAAUUAACCAGGCCUCUGGGCUUCCUUCCUUCUUCUCUAUCCAUUUAAUGCAUUGGUUGCUGCAACAGAGAAUGGUCAGGGAUGGAGAAAAGGAAUGAAGCUUUAACCCACAAAGCUGUAGUUAGGAGUAAGGAAAUCAAGAAGGAGAUUGGUACCAUCUACUAAAACAGGCACGGGGCCGAUCUUGCGAUUCCAUUGGUCCACAUUCUACCUGUGCCAGAAAUCCAGACUAGAAGGAGCCCACCAGGUUGUCCCAGGGCACACAACACAGUCUGAUAAAUGAUCAGUCAAAUGCACAGAUAUACGUUCCACCUGCCCUGCCCCCAGGGAAGGAAUUUAAACUCAGAUAGAAUAUAGUUAACUUAGUGCACUUUCCUUGAAACGUUUGACACACACAGUUGAUUCUUAUUCUCAGUUUAUAGAUGGGAAACAGCUUGGAGAGUUUUCUGUGGUUUAACUGAAUUCUCUUAAUACUAAUAGCCCCCUGGCCAUCCAAUCAACACAUAUUUGCAAACUGGCAUGAUGCAAAAUCGUUCCUUCUGUUUCCAUGCCGUCUCGUGCUCUUUUUUUUUCCUGCUCCAUCAGUUCAACGGCUGCCUGUGGAACAUCAGCAAAGCUCACUGCUGCGGGGUGCAGGACC
This 1575-nucleotide long non-coding RNA is filed under the name Macaca fascicularis (crab-eating macaque). Its description in RNAcentral is "lncRNA (ENSMFAG00000057118.1)". The record is from RNAcentral. Lineage: Eukaryota; Metazoa; Chordata; Mammalia; Primates; Cercopithecidae.